Molecule: ribosomal RNA, 468 nt
Filed under: uncultured bacterium
Lineage: Bacteria
Description: partial 16S ribosomal RNA
Rfam family: Bacterial small subunit ribosomal RNA
Source: RNAcentral
GACGAACGCUGGCGGCGUGCUUAACACAUGCAAGUCGAACGGAAAGGCCCUGCUUUUGUGGGGUGCUCGAGUGGCGAACGGGUGAGUAACACGUGAGUAACCUUCCCUUGACUUUGGGAUAACUUCAGGAAACUGGGGCUAAUACCGGAUAGGAGCUCCUGCUGCAUGGUGGGGGUUGGAAAGUUUCGGCGGUUGGGGAUGGACUCGCGGCUUAUCAGCUUGUUGGUGGGGUAGUGGCUUACCAAGGCUUUGACGGGUAGCCGGCCUGAGAGGGUGAACGGCCACAUUGGGACUGAGAUACGGACCAGACUCCUACGGGAGGCAGCGGUGGGGAAUAUGGCACAAUGGGCGGAAGCCUGAUGCAGCAACGCCGCGUGCGGGAUGACGGCCUUCGGGUUGUAAACCGCUUUCGGCUGUGACGAAGCGUGAGUGACGGUAAUGGGUAAAGAAGCACCGGCUAACUACGUG